This 1057-nucleotide ribosomal RNA is filed under the name uncultured cyanobacterium. Its description in RNAcentral is "bacterial SSU rRNA". It matches the Rfam family "Bacterial small subunit ribosomal RNA", at positions 226 to 1288 of the family's 1533-position model. Lineage: Bacteria; Bacillati; Cyanobacteriota. The record is from RNAcentral.
GCUCCGCGUUUCGGAUUACGCUAGUGGGUGGGUUAAGGUCUCACCAAGGGGCGAUCGAUCAGUAGCCGGUUCGAGAGGGAAUGAUCGCCCCACAUUGGGAUUGAAGACACGGCCCCAGACUCUUACGGGGAGGCAGCAGUGGGGAAUUUUCCGCAAUGGGCGCAAGCCUGACGGAGCCCAGACCGCGUGAGGGAAGAAGCUCUGGGUCGUAAACCUCUUUUCUCAGGGAGAAAAAAAUGACGGUACUGAGGAAUCAGCCUCGGCUAACUCCGUGCCCAGCAGCCGCGGUAAGACGGAGGAGGCAAGCGUUAUCCGGAAUUAUUGGGCGUAAAGCGUCCGUAGGUGGUUGUUCAAGUCUGCUGUUAAAGCCCAAGGCUCAACCUUGGAUCGGCAGUGGAAACUGAAGAACUAGAGUGCGGUAGGGGUAGAGGGAAUUCCCAGUGUAGCGGUGAAAUGCGUAGAGAUUGGGAAGAACACCGGUGGCGAAAGCGCUCUACUGGGCCGCAACUGACACUCACAGGACGAAAGCUAGGGGAGCGAAAGGGAUUAGAUACCCCUGUAGUCUUAGCUGUAAACGAUGGAUACUAGGCGUGGCUUGUAUCGACCCGAGCCGUGCCGAAGCUAACGCGUUAAGUAUCCCGCCUGGGGAGUACGCACGCAAGUGUGAAACUCAAAGGAAUUGACGGGGGCCCGCACAAGCGGUGGAGUAUGUGGUUUAAUUCGAUGCAACGCGAAGAACCUUACCAGGGCUUGACAUCUGGCGAAUCUCGGUGAAAGCUGAGAGUGCCUUCGGGAGCGCCAAGACAGGUGGUGCAUGGCUGUCGUCAGCUCGUGUCGUGAGAUGUUGGGUUAAGUCCCGCAACGAGCGCAACCCUCGUCCUUAGUUGCCAGCAUUAAGUUGGGCACUUUAGGGAUACUGCCGGUGACAAACCGGAGGAAGGUGGGGAUGACGUCAAGUCAGCAUGCCCCUUACGCCCUAGGCUACACACGUACUACAAUGGUCAGGACAAUGGGCAGCAAGCUCGCGAGAGUUAGCGAAUCCCAUCAAACUUGGCCU